CCUACGGGAGGCAGCAGUGAGGAAUAUUGGUCAAUGGACGCGAGUCUGAACCAGCCAUGUCGCGUGCAGGAAGACGGAUCAAUGUAUUGUAAACCGCUUUUGUACGGGAGCAAACGCAGGUACGGGUACCUGUCUGAAAGUAUCUGACGAAUAAGUAUCGGCUAACUCCGUGCCAGCAGCCGCGGUAAUACGGAGGAUUCAAGCGUUAUCCGGAUUUAUUGGGGUUAAAGGGUGCGUAGGCUGGCGGAUAAGUUAGGGGGGAAAUCCCGAGGCUCAACUUCGGAAGUGCCUCUGAAACUGGCCGGCUAGAGAGGAGGUGCGGUAGGCGGAAUGUAUGGUGUAGCGGUGAAAUGCUUAGAGAUCACACAGAACCCCGAUUGCGAAGGCAGCUUACCAAGCUCCUUCUGACGCUGAGGCACGAAAGCGUGGGGAGCAAACAGGAUUAGAUACCCCAGUAGUC
RNAcentral lists this ribosomal RNA (460 nucleotides) under uncultured bacterium. Its description in RNAcentral is "partial 16S ribosomal RNA". It matches the Rfam family "Bacterial small subunit ribosomal RNA", at positions 338 to 795 of the family's 1533-position model. The record is from RNAcentral.